AACAAACGCUGGCGGCGUGCCUAACACAUGCAAGUCGUACGAGAAAGUCGGCUUCGGCCGAUGAGUACAGUGGCGCACGGGUGAGUAACGCGUGGGUCAUCUGCCCCCCGGUCAGGAAUAACCCGCCGAAAGGCGGGCUAAUACCCGAUAACACUGACGCUCUGCGGAGUGUCUUUCAAAGAAGGCCUCUGUUUACAAGCUUUCGCCGGAGGAUGAGCCCGCGUACCAUUAGCUAGUUGGCAGGGUAAUGGCCUACCAAGGCAACGAUGGUUAGCUGGUCUGAGAGGAUGGCCAGCCACACUGGAACUGAGACACGGUCCAGACUCCUACGGGAGGCAGCAGUGAGGAAUCUUGCGCAAUGGGGGAAACCCUGACGCAGCAACGCCGCGUGAGUGAAGAAGGCCUUCGGGUCGUAAAGCUCUGUCAGAUGGGAAGAAAUGGAUGGGGGCUAAUAUCGUCCAUCCUUGACGGUACCAUCAGAGGAAGCACCGGCUAACUCCGUGCCAGCCGCCGCCGUAA
This 519-nucleotide ribosomal RNA is filed under the name uncultured bacterium. RNAcentral's name for it is "partial 16S ribosomal RNA". It matches the Rfam family "Bacterial small subunit ribosomal RNA", at positions 29 to 523 of the family's 1533-position model. The record is from RNAcentral.